AAUUUUUCAAUACUCUUUUAGAAUUUUUUCUAAAAGGAUUUCUGAGCUUGGUCGGGAAUCCCAA
Small nuclear RNA from Grammomys surdaster, 64 nucleotides. RefSeq annotates it as U7 small nuclear RNA. The record is from RefSeq and is a predicted model, not a curated record. Lineage: Eukaryota; Metazoa; Chordata; Mammalia; Rodentia; Muridae. The transcript has a single exon.